RNAcentral lists this ribosomal RNA (2094 nucleotides) under Triticum aestivum (bread wheat). Its description in RNAcentral is "partial small subunit ribosomal RNA". Lineage: Eukaryota; Viridiplantae; Streptophyta; Magnoliopsida; Poales; Poaceae. The record is from RNAcentral.
AUGGAUCAGUGGCCGACACCGACGAACGCCACGGAGCUGUGCGGCUUCCUCGGCCUCACGGGCUACUACAGGAAGUUCGUCCCACACUAUGGCAUCAUCGCGAAGCCACUCACACAGCUGCUGACGAAGAAGGGCUUCUUCUGGACGGCGCAAGCACAAGCAGCGUUUGAGACGCUCAAGCAAUCGAUGGUCACCACGCCAGUCCUUGCCCUACCAGAAUUUGCGCGGCCGUUCACGAUCGAGACAGACGCCUGCGACACGGGCGUGGGCGCGGUGCUCGCGCAGGAUGGGCACCCGGUCGCAUACUUCAGCAAGGCGCUCGGCGUUCGCAACCAGAAGCUAUCCACUUAUGAGAAGGAAUUCCUCGCCGUGAUGAUGGCCGUCGACAAGUGGCGUCAGUAUUUGCAGCGCGGCCCCUUCGACAUCAUCACGGAUCACAAAUCUCUCUGUAAUCUAGGCGAACAACACCUGGAGACAGAGCUCCAGCGCACGGCCAUGGCGAAGCUGGUGGGAUUACAGUUCCGUUUUCAGUACAGAAGGGGGCUGGACAACGGCGCAGCUGACGCGCUCUCGCGAGUGGGCAAACAGUUCGAACUGGCCGCGCUCUCGACGUGCCAGCCCGACUGGGUGCAGGAGGUGGCCAACUCAUAUGCCACUGACGCUAACGCCCAGGAACGACUGCAACAACUGGCGAUCCACAGCCCGGACGAUCAGGGCUACAAGCUCUACCGUGGCAUCAUCAGGCGCCAGGGGCGCCUCUGGAUCGGGGCCAAUUCGGCCCUGCGCACCAAGCUCAUCGCCGCGCUGCACUGCAGUGCGGUGGGUGGUCACUCCGGCUCCACUGCCACCUACCAGCGCGUGCGCAAACACUUCGACUGGCGCGGCCUCAAGCGCGACGUCGCCGAGUUCGUGCAGCAGUGCACCAUGUGCCAGCAGGCCAAGCACGAGCAUGUCAAGCCGGCGGGCCUCCUCGCCCCGCUGCCCAUUCCAACGGCGCCAUGGCAGGACCUCACCAUGGACUUCGUGGAGGGGCUACCGCGCUCCGAAGGACACGACACGAUCAUGGUGGUCGUCGACCGCUUCACCAAGUUCGCCCACUUUGUCCCUCUCCGCCACCCCUUCAACGCCAAGCAGGUGGGGCGCGCCUUCUGGGAGAACGUGGUGAAGCUGCACGGCAUUCCAGUGUCCAUCGUCUCCGAUCGCGACAAGAUCUUCACAAGCCACCUCUGGCGCGAGCUGCUCGCGGGCGCUGGCACCAAACUGCUGUACUCGACAGCCUAUCACCCUCAGACCGACGGCCAGAGUGAAAGGGUGAAUCAGUGCAUGGAGAUGUACCUCCGAUGCGCUGUCCAAGACUCGCCGCACCAAUGGCGCCGGUGGCUGCCAAUGGCGGAGUUCUGGUACAAUUCCACCUUCCAUGCGUCACUCAAAGGCACUCCCUUCAAGGCCCUCUACGGCACGGAAGCUAACCUGGGCGCCAUGGCUUCUUGGGCGGAGUCGGCGCCGGCCGGCGAGGAGUUGGAUUGGGCGGCGCACACCGCGCACAUUCGCGCACAGCUGGAGCGCGCACAGCACCGAUUCAAGAAGAACGCUGACCGCAACCGCACAGAGAGGCACUUUCAGGAGGGCGAACAAGUGUUGCUCAAGCUCCAGCCGUAUGGGCAGCGUUCGGUGGUCAAUCGCCCCUGCGCCAAGCUCGCCUUUAAGUACUUUGGCCCGUUCAAGAUCACCGAGAAGAUUGGCGCACUCGCUUACAAGCUCGACCUGACGCCAGAAAGCCAAGUCCACCCUGUCUUUCACGUGUCACAACUGAAGCCCUUCACCCCCGACUAUACGCCGGUGUACGGUGAACUUCCCAAGGCGCCGGACCUCUCCGUCGACAACCUCCUACCGACCCGCAUCCUGGACAGGGGCAUGAUGAAGCGCGGCGACGUGCCGGUGGUGCAGCUCAAGGUGCAGUGGGGCACCGGCGACUCCGCGCCGACGACAUGGGAGGACCACGACGUGCUGCGCAACCGCUUUCCAACGGCAUCACUGUGGGCGGAGGCGGAGAACGACGACGAUACUGACGAAGAAGAUGAGGACACAGCUUAA